GUGAGGAAUAUUGCGCAAUGGAGGCAACUCUGACGCAGCCAUGCCGCGUGCAGGAAGAAGGCGCUACGCGUUGUAAACUGCUUUUAACCGGGAAGAAACCCCAGGACGUGUCCUGGGUUGACGGUACCGGAGGAAUAAGCACCGGCUAACUUCGUGCCAGCAGCCGCGGUAAUACGAAGGGUGCAAGCGUUAUCCGGAUUCAUUGGGUUUAAAGGGUGCGUAGGCGGAGCGUUAAGUCAGUGGUGAAAUCCUGCAGCUUAACUGUAGACUUGCCAUUGAUACUGGCGCUCUUGAGUGCGCUUGAAGUGGGCGGAAUGUGCCGUGUAGCGGUGAAAUGCUUAGAUAUGGCACAGAACACCAAUUGCGAAGGCAGCUCACUAAGGCGAUACUGACGCUGAGGCACGAAAGCGUGGGGAUCGAACAGGAUUAGAUACCCAAGUAGUCC
Molecule: ribosomal RNA, 445 nt
Filed under: uncultured bacterium
Lineage: Bacteria
Description: partial 16S ribosomal RNA
Rfam family: Bacterial small subunit ribosomal RNA
Source: RNAcentral